RNAcentral lists this transfer RNA (73 nucleotides) under Nitrososphaerota archaeon. Its description in RNAcentral is "tRNA-Thr". The stretch from base 8 to 65 matches the Rfam family "tRNA", at positions 9 to 63 of the family's 71-position model. From Rfam's summary of the family: Transfer RNA (tRNA) molecules are approximately 80 nucleotides in length. The record is from RNAcentral. Lineage: Archaea; Thermoproteati; Nitrososphaerota.
GCGGGACAGCAUAGUGGUCUAAUGCACUUCCUUGGUAAGGAAGAGACCGCGAGUUCAAAUCUCGCCCGGGGCU